UUUAACAAUAAUUUUGUUCCUAAUCAAAUAUGAGUUUGUCAUAAUAAAUCAGACAAAAAAUAUCCCCCCCUCCAUUGAACCGAUUGGUAACGCCCAACCAAUGAGUCGCACUUUCACCAAAACAACGCGAGUGGCGUUUGAAUGUGAGAGCACACGGGUAACGUUAGCGCCAAAAAUGAAGAGAAGUGCUGCACAGCGGACUAUAUUUAACUGCUGGUCAGAGAGGGAUGCAAAAAAAAAAACAUGUACUGAGAAAGAGGCCUAACCACAAGAGGGCGUACAAGGUUAUUCACCCCGGGUUAAGGUGGCCACCCCACCGAAGCAGCAUUUUGUUGAGAAAAAUUCAGAGAGCAGUCAAGUAUUCAAGUUUCCUCCAGUCUCCCCCUGCCGCCAUGUCUGGCACUGCUAUCACUGUGCUGAGUGUGCUAGUCUGCUAAAACCUCCUGCCAUUCACUGCGCCCUGGGAGUCCUUUCUGCUGGAUGCUAGGAUUUGGCAUUAUGUGGAAAUCUCAGGUGAAUAUAUGUUUUCGCAUGUAUUUUCAAGACAGUCUCAUCUUUGAAGAUUGAACGCUUUGAGGUUGCUCGUGGGGAGGUGCUGCUUCGCUUAAAUUGCCUCAUGUGUUUUCAUUUGUCUUGCGAUUGAUUCAUUCAUCUGUUUUUGUGCCUUUGCCAGUCGGAUACCUGCAUCUUAUCCCUCCAUUUACUGCAUCAGCACUGCUACACAUGCCAAAGUCGAGCUGUAUUGCGCAUGAGUAUGCCAGAACAUCCUCUGGCAAACAUGGAGGUUCAUAAGAGCUGCUGACUCACAUGACUCACAAUACAGCAGCUUCUUUAAUGAAUGUGUCUGGUCUGGCUGUAGAGCUCUGCAGGGCUCUCCACUCACCUGGCACAGACACACAGAUUCAGUGCCAGCAGCAUUCUAGUAGCCUCCAUAUGUUUGGCCUGUCAGACACGUAAAAUAUUCCACAUACUGGCAGUGACUCUGUCUUUAUCACUUUUUCAAUCUAUCCCUCACAAGAGCCAAAAAAACUUACAUGGGAUUGAUUUUAAAUGGAUAUUUUUUGUUCCUAAAUCCAGUAACCAAUGGCUACUUUUAAUGUAGUACGGGUAACUAUUACCGAACAAAACAUGAAAACUGACUAUGAAUUGGAAAAAUUUAUUCUGUAUUUGGCACAGGAAAGCCUUACAUGUAUUGUUGCAGUAAGUGUAUAUAAGUUUUUGUUGUUGUUGUUGUUGUUGUUUGCAAUAGAAGAUAUCAGGUGAAUUUACUCACUGAUUUCAAGUAAAUUUUAAAGCAAUAAACCCAAUUAUAACAAUCCCCUUGAAGGAAAGAUUUGUGUCAUUCUAGUCACUAAUGUGAAAUUGUCACUUAAAGUGGAAAUUUGGCAUUUUUCAAAUAUCGGCAUUAGCCGAUAAGUUUUUCUGCUUGGCCGAUGUGUUCGAGACUUUUUUUUGAAUGUGAGCCGGACUUUUAUUUUGACGGCGCUGAGAAAGGCAGCACCUGAGCGCAUACAGCUGACAUUCUCCCUCUUGUUCUCUGUGGUCAUUAACAGUUCUGUCUAAUACAGAUAUAAAUCUGUCU
Molecule: long non-coding RNA, 1582 nt
Organism: Cyprinus carpio (common carp)
Lineage: Eukaryota; Metazoa; Chordata; Actinopteri; Cypriniformes; Cyprinidae
Exons: 5
Source: RefSeq, a predicted model, not a curated record